UAAGUGCCAAUUCAGUCUGAGAUCUCAGCUACUUGAUAAUCUCAUCUCAGUCUCACCCUCACCUUUGUUUGAAGCUCUCAUCUCACAUUCACUCACCAAUGCUUCCUGUUUCUGUGUUAGCUGAUCGUUUUGAUUUUCCAUUGGGUCAGUCUUUUGAAAUCAAUCUGCAAUUUCCAACUGGAUUUUUCUGGGUUUUCAAGGAACCCUAGAUCCAGCUUCAAAUUGCUUACAUGUGCUGGUUAAACCCAUAAUUUAACUGGAAGCAAGGUGGGCAGAGGCUUCAAACAAAGAUGCAUGUUUCUCUUCCUUUUGGUUUGCUGAGAUGCAUGACCGUCCAACCAUCUUAGCUAUUGCUGGAAGAGUAUACUUAAGUGUUAUAAUACCCAGGAGUUAAUCAAUCGAAUAAUAUGUAUUGAUUAAGCUUGAACAAGUCUUAGUUCUAUAAUUUUGAAAAACAAUUUGCCCUAUGUAGGAGAGAUCUGUGACUGAUCGCAAAACAAGAGCUGCUAUCUUCAGGUUUUUGUCCAACCCCGAACACUUUGUAUCCUUGUUGAUGAUAGGAAUGUGCAGGGGAAAAGGAUGUUGUAAAGAACAAAUAUUGCAUGUAAGGCACCAUACUGUCUGGUAAUCCAAAUCCAAAUUCACUGAUUACAGUGGAAAUUUUUCCAUAAAAAUAUGGAGAUAGAUGAAGCGAAAAAUAAUCAUAAAUAGAGGGCAGUGGCCAUUUCCUUCUGAAGUGGAACAUAUGUGUGCUUUCUCUAUUUUAUUAGAUCCUUAGUUCCCACGCAUUCCUAUUAUCAACAAGGAUACGAAAUGCAAUGGGAUUGGACAAAAAUUCGAAGAUAGCAACUCCUGGUUUAUGAUCCGUCAUAGAUGUCUCUUAUAUAGUGGACAUUAUUUUUCACAUUUAUAUAAUUAUGACCUUUUCCAGUUUAGUCAAUAUAUUUCUUUUGAGGGGUUGCUCCUAUGUAUUAUUGAACUUAAAAGUAUAUAAAAUUGUGCUAGGAUUAAUGGCGUAUAAUUCUAUUGGAUGCUUAGAUUCAGGUAAGACCUAUAUGGUUUGUUAAAUUAAGUUUGAAAACAUUUUAUCUCGGAUUAGGUCCAUCGAGUGAUUUGUAUGCAUAAGUUUAUGGGCUGACAGCAUAUUUCUUUCAAGAUAUCGUUGAUGCCCUUGCUUUUGUCCAAAAAUUAUGCAGAGUGACUGUUACAUUUUCCUUAAAUUUUAAAUUUCUCCAAAAUUUAGCUAUGCCUCUUGGAUUAUAGGUCGUAUUUCAUUUUUCCUCCUUGAUUAUUAAUGUGGUUUUUCAGAUUCCCGAAAGUUUCACAAAGUAUUAAUGCCCCUGCUACCGUCAAUGUCUCUCAAUAUUUCGGUUGAAAAUCAUCAAGUGCAUGUAGCUUGAGUUUUCGGUUUAUUUUCAAGACUCUAUUUCUCUCUUCCUCCUCCCCUUCUCUUUCUCUGAAAUUCUCUCUCUUCUCUAACCUUCUUGCUCUCUCUAAAGUUCUAAACUAACAAUCUCUUUCUUUUGCUUUUCUCUUAAUAAUUUAGAUCUCUUUCCCUUGCAUUUCUUUUGUGUAUCAUGGGCGAUGGGUUUGAGUGUGAUGGUUUUUCUCCCAAUUUUUCUAUUGGCCCAAGGAUUUCCAUGCCUUUGGACUUAAUUGCUGAGGACAAACAGAACAAUGUAACAUAGAAGGGCCGUAUUCUCUAGAUUCACUUGAAGAGUCUCCCUAAUCAAACCUAAUCAAAUAAGCGUCCUUUUAUUUUCUUUGUUAGAAGUUUUCUAGAAUUCUUUCUUUUUCUCCAAACUGAUUGCUACUAGAAAGUCUUAGACAGUGAUGUUCAAGGAUUAAAACGGAAAAUCAAGGUUCUCUAAACUAGAAGUAGUUCGUCAUCACAACCAUGAGGGGAGAAAGGGGGAAACAAAUUCACUCUGGGACUAGCAUACUGCAUAAUAUUAUAAAUAUCAUGAACUGGUCAUUGCGUGCUUACAAAUUAGUAAGGCAUUCAUGAACUUAACAUUAUUGCUGAGCAAAGAAAAUUCAACACCUUGUGCACAAAAAGAGGAGAAAGAUAUUGUCGCAUACCCAAAUCACAGGUUCAUUAUGGUCGGAUUCCGAUGACAGAGCUGCUGCCUAAUGGUUUAGCUUCUUCUCCAUUGUGCUCCCCCCCUCCCUCCUCUCCUUAAAGACCCUUUUUCUUUGAAGGAGUGAAGGGAGAAGGGGAAAAGUGAGUGAGCUCUCACUCUCACAUUUCAGAUUGAAAGCAAGCUGUAUUUGUGUAAAUUUGUGUUUAUACUGUAUUGGUGCUGGAGAUAUUUUGGUGCCAAUACAGUAUAUGUUUUUCCUGUCUUCUUCCCCCUUGCUUGAUACGUAUAUUAUGUUACUUUUUUAUUGUCAUUUUUCAACGAUUAAACUGAAGCAGAGUGUAUAUUUGUUCGUUCA
Molecule: long non-coding RNA, 2439 nt
Organism: Prunus dulcis (almond)
Lineage: Eukaryota; Viridiplantae; Streptophyta; Magnoliopsida; Rosales; Rosaceae
Exons: 2
Source: RefSeq, a predicted model, not a curated record